UGGAAGAAUAAGAAGCAGGAGCUGUGAUUUAUUGGAGUAAUAGAGUAGCCGCCAAGAAAAAAAUAAAAAUAAAUAAUAAUAAGGGCAGCUCGGUUUGGUUAAGGAGAAAAGCAGCAUGAAGGCAUAGCUGGAGUUGAACUACAAGAAUAAAACUAAGUUAAUUCAAUCUUUCUUUCUCUUCCCUGCUCCUCCACCUGGUCUCCUUCUUGCUCAAUUUCCUGCCGAACAAGCCCAGUCCCUCUUUACCUUUCAGUUUUGCCGAAUCAAGCUCAUCCCGUCUAUCCUCAGUUAGCUAGGUCCAGAUAAGUGAGUAGCAAGGUGUUAAACAAGCUCUAGCAAAUCAAAGGAAGAGCAUACAAGGAAUUGCAAUAAAUAAGCAAGGUAACAACAAUUAAUGAUUUGUUAAUAUUACAGUGUAUGUAUAUGGUUAUCAGUUAGCAAUUAAAAUUGAUUGGGUUAAUUAUGUUAUGAGCUAUGGCCAAAUGAUUAGGCAACAAAAAUAAAGAUAUGACAGUAGGUAUAUCUUGAAUUGAGGUAAGAAACUAAAAGUUAAGCUCAUAUUUAUGCAAAACAGUUAGUUAUAAGGAAAUUCAAGUUAGUUUGGCAAAGACAGGUAAUUUAUGAAAUGGGUAAGUUAACUGACAUAAAUUGUGGUAUGUAGCAAUAAUGAUAUGUGAUAUAGCUAAUUAUUAUCAAAUGAAGUGGAGUAUACAAAGUUUACUUAAAGUUAGUAAACUAGUUAAUGCAAGUAUAUUCAUGUAUGGUCUUCGUUAAAAAUUGGAUCCUUGUGGACUGAAUAAGAGCCAUGGAGAUUAGCGUGGUUGUGCAGAGUAAUAAGGUGGGAAAAAUUGGGCUAGAACACAAACCAAGCUCUAUGAAAACUGAAUUUUAAAGCGACACACACUAUGUGUUCGCUAAAACUCCUCUAAGGACUGUUUUUGUUAAAAAAUGAAAACUAAGCGAAGCCAAGACCUGAGUUAUAUAUAUACACAUUAUAUAUAACUAAUUAGAAAGUUUUGGUGAAUCGAAUUAAGAGAGGAAACAUUUUUGAGACAUAACGAAAAGUUGAAAACUAGUUUGGCUACUGACCUUGAGGCCAAUUUCGGGACUAGUUAUAUUUCUAGAAAAAUUCUGGGUUUUUGGGGAAGUAUAGUACACUGAAUAAGGAAUUCAUAGCCUCUAGAAUGGACUAAUUCCGACCUCGGAGGAGAGAGUUAUGACAUUCCAAAGUAAACGUGUCAAAUCUGUCCAAAAUCUGGAAAUCAGAUUCUGACCAGCCCGUUGCACGAAUUUUCUGGAAUUUUGUGUUAUGAAUUUGAAAAUGGUCAAAGAAUAAAAGUUGUAGUUCCGGAAGUUAGCUUCGCGUGGGCAUAAGAAUCGCUCAAAAAUGUUUUGAAACGAAAAAGUUGUGACUGUUUUAGCGAAAAAGGGUAAAGCUGGAAAUGAAUUGAAAACUGUUAUGAACGUCCACUUUUGACGUACUGUUUGGGCUGCCUAAUGAACCCGAAUUGGGUAACUCGUAUUUUUUAAAAAUAGUCUUACAUACCAUGUAUAACAUAUUCAAAAAUGAGCGCGAUCCGACAUGCGAGCUAAAAAUGGAAAAAUUGCAGAGUAGCCGCGUCGCGGAGGGGGCUGCUGCCCACAGCAGCAGCAGCACACAGACAGCAGCAGCGCACAAUAGCAGUUGGCUGGGGGCUGUUUUGGCCUCUUGUUUAACGCGUCUAAAUUACCCAAAAUGUUCGGUUAGCAUUUUUUAAAAAUAGGUGGACAUACCACCUAUAGCAUAUCCAAAAUUGGUCGGGAUCGGACGAAUGAGACGGAAACUAAAAAUAUGCAAAGUGGACGUAAGAACAUGUUCGUUGGCGUCGUGACACGUAUUUCAAGGUGGAGACACAGAUUUCGAGGUUUUUGACAGUUUCACGUAUUCUGAGGCAUCGAGGCGGAUAUAGAACGCAGUUUAAAACCUAUAUAACAUGUACAACCGUUUGAAGCAUACUAGACGCUAUAAAAGCAAUAUGUAACAUGUACAUGGGUAAUAUAUCCGUGAGAUAGGAUAUGUUGACGUUAAUGAAAGCUAUUCCAAAGUUAUACCUCGGAACUGAACGGUUUUUGAAAUACAAAGCGAUAAUUGUGUAAACGGAGUUGAAAAUUCAACGCUUGACAUUAAUAAGGUAUGUGUAGGUAUAAGACAUACAAAUAGCAUAUGUCUACCUACAAACCAAGUAAAUGAGGCAAUGUUUGACAUUAUAAGAGACGCGUAUAUGCAAAAACAUAUAUGUACUUCAUGUGUACAUGAAAUGGGAAAAAGUAAUGUAAUAUGAACGCAUUAAGCCUAGAAAGCUAAUAUUCGUGUGAAAUAGUAUUUAAAUUACUCACGAAAGCGAAAAUAAGAUAUAAUUAUGCAAAGUAAAGGCACAAAUGCACUAUAUGACUAUAAGUCUACAUAUAGAUACGUGUAAAGUCUGUAAAUGCAUUAUAAAAGGGUUAUAAACUGUAAAUGUAAUGAAUUGACAUUGUAAAAGCCGUGUUGGAACUUUUUGAGAAUGUAUAGCUAUAAUAAGCCGAAACCUAAAAUAUUCUAAAGGAAUAUGAAAGUUUCUUAGAAAUAAGAAUAUCAGAUAUUGAUAUAGUUUAUGUGAAUAUUGUUAGCUAUACAGGUUUUGGGAUAUGAAUCUGUGACUAAUGUAUGUAUACAUGUGAACAUAAUUGUGUAGGAUUCGGGAAGCGAAGUUAAACAAAAGUUUGUAUCAAUAGUCAUUGAACGAGGCAAGUUUUUCAGUUCUAUUAUGUUUGUGGAUUAAAUGUGAUUAUGUGGUGAGUUACAUACCGUGCUUUAUGAAUUGUUAAAGUCAAAAUAUGACUAAGUUAAUUGGGUUAUGGAACUCAAUUUAUAUGUGAUAUGUGAUAGCACGUGUUGUAUAAUGUAACUCGAUAAAUUAGAAAUGUAUAAUGCAUGAAUGUAUGCUUUGCAAGGAAUUAUUGAUGCAUGUAGGAUAUGCAUGGUAAAGAAUAUAUGUUGCAUGUGGAUAUGCAUAGUAAAGGAAAUAUAGUGCAUAUGGAAUUGUGUGCUAUGUGAAACAUGAUAGACUGUUAAAUUUGCUGGGCUGUCGAGCUCAAUCUUGCAAACACAAACUUUUUGCAGGUUAAUGAUGUUAAGUAAUAUUACUUGCUAUACAGAUGAUGAAAAUUAAACGAUGUGCAAAAUGAAUACAUUUUCUUAAAUUAGAAAUGGUAUAAAUUUAUGAUUGAUAGUUUUGUCAAAUGUAAAUGGGCAGUUAUGUAUAGUUUAAAAUGUUGAAUGGAUAAAUAAUGUUUAUUCUGAAAUGAGAAUAAAUAUGAUUCUAGUAUAAAGAAGAAUUGUAAAGGUUGCGAUUCAGGGAAUGAAUGAAUGGAAAUAAAGAAGAAAACAAAAAUUAUUCCGCAUUUUUUAGCUAUUUUAACAUUAAAUAAUGUUUUAAAGCUAUAACAAGGUAGUAUUAACGCACAAGAUCGGGAAGGGAAAUGGUCCCGAUUUUGGGGUUGUUACAGUUGGUAUCAAAGCUAUAGGUAUGAUAUAUUGGUAUUAUAUAUUUAUUAUAUGUAAAUAAAUUAUAGGGGUAAUUUAUUAAAGAAAAUGAGAUGGGUAGAAUUAAAAUAAUUUAUAAGAAAAUUGUUUUAAUAUAAGAAAAAAUUGCACUUAAUAUAUUAUCCUAUUAGAAUUGGAAAUCAGGUAAAAGAUACUAUUUACGCUUUGUGUAUGUAACAAAUGACAUGUCAUUAAUUGGGUUAUUGUUGGUAAGUUAGUUUUUAUUUUAUAAGAAGUAAAUAAAAACAAUGAGAAAUCAGAUAUAAGUCCAGUAUGAGCUGGAGGAAGGAUAGCAAUUUGGUGAACGGUAAGACUGUUUUAGUACGAGCUGUCCAUGUAUUGUGCAUAGUUGAAUGGUUUUACGAAUUUAAUUAGCAUUCUAUUUAAAUAGGAAGUAUGUAAACUUCUAUGCUUUCAAAGAAUGGCAUAAUAAGGUGUGUAAUUGCAGCUAAUUAUCGAGCAAGGGGGGAGGCAAGUUGCUGCACAUUUGCAGCAACAGUUGUUAGCUAACUGCUAAUGCAAUGUAAAGCCACACUAAAAUUUAUUAAAUCCCACAAUAAAAACUAUAUUGGAACUUGUUGAGCGAAAUAUGAUUAUAUAUUAAGCUGAAACUUAAAAUAUUUGAAAAAGAAUAUGGAAGUUUCCUAGAAAUGAGAAUAUAAGUUAUUGAUAUAACGUAUAUGAAUGUUUAAUAUCUAUACAGGAGUAUGUGGCUAAUGUAUGCCUACAACAUAAUUGUGUAGGAUUCGUGAAGCGAAGUUAAACUAGCUAAAGUUUGUAUCAAUGGUCAUUGAACGAGGCAAGUUUUUCAGUUCUGUUAUGUUUGUGGAUGGAAUGUGGUUAUGUGCUAAAUUACAUAUCAUGCUCUAUGAAUUGUUAAAGUCAAAAUAUGACUAAGUUAAUUGGGUUAUGAAACUCAAUUUAUAUGUGAUUUGUGAUAACACAUGUUGUAUGAUGUAACUCGAUAAAUUAGAAAUGUAUAAUGCAUGAAUGUAUACUUUGUAAGGAAUUAUUGAUGAAUGUAGGAUAUGCAUAGUAAAGAAUAUAUGUUGCAUGCGGAUAUGCAUAUUAAAGGAAAUGUAGUGCAUAUGGAAUUGUGUGCUAUGUGAAACAUGAUAGACUGUUAAAUUUGCUGGGCUAUCGAGCUCAAUCUUGCAAACACAAACUUUUUGCAGGUUAAUGACGUUAUGCAAUAUUAUUUGUUAUGCGGAUGAUGAAGGAUGAAGGAUGAAUGAUGGACGAAAUGAAUACAUUUCUUUGAAUUAGAAAUGGUAUAAAGCUAUGAUUGAUAGUUGCUAAAUAUAAUUGGCAGUUAUGUAUAGUUUGAAAUGUUGAAUAGAUAAAUAAUGUUUAUUCUGAAAUGAGAAUAAAUAUGAUUCUAGUAUAAAGAAGAAUUGUAAAGGUUGCGAUUCAGUGAAUAAAUGAAUGGAAAUAAAGAAGAAGAAAAAUUUAUUCUGCAUUCUUAGCUAUUUUAACAUUAAAUAAUGUUUUAAAGCUAUAACAAGAUAGUAUUAACGCACAAGAUUGGGAAGGGAAAUAGUCUCGAUUUUGGGGUCGUUACAGAAGUAGUACGGGAAGAAGAAUUCAAAUUGAGUUGUAAAGGAUAGCAUACGAAUUAAAGAAAAUUCGUAUUAAGUAAAAAGAAAGUUAGAAGUUGUAAGAUUUCAAUUGAGGACUCAUGUGAUAGCUGAGUUAUAUGAACCUUUGUAUGGGCAAAGGUUUGUGCUUGGUGUAACAACCACUCGGUUUAUUACAGUGAUAAUC
RNAcentral lists this long non-coding RNA (5329 nucleotides) under Panax ginseng (ginseng). RNAcentral's name for it is "long non-coding RNA (PGIN_LNC006025)". Lineage: Eukaryota; Viridiplantae; Streptophyta; Magnoliopsida; Apiales; Araliaceae. The record is from RNAcentral.